GGGCAGGUGGCCGAGUGGUUAAAGGCGACAGACUGUAAAUCUGUUCCGCGAGGUACGAUGGUUCGAAUCCAUCCCUGCCCACCA
RNAcentral lists this transfer RNA (84 nucleotides) under Desulfosporosinus sp. Its description in RNAcentral is "tRNA-Tyr". It matches the Rfam family "tRNA". Rfam says of the family: Transfer RNA (tRNA) molecules are approximately 80 nucleotides in length. Their secondary structure includes four short double-helical elements and three loops (D, anti-codon, and T loops). Further hydrogen bonds mediate the characteristic L-shaped molecular structure. tRNAs have two regions of fundamental functional importance: the anti-codon, which is responsible for specific mRNA codon recognition, and the 3' end, to which the tRNAs corresponding amino acid is attached (by aminoacyl-tRNA synthetases). tRNAs cope with the degeneracy of the genetic code in two manners: having more than one tRNA (with a specific anti-codon) for a particular amino acid; and 'wobble' base-pairing, i.e. permitting non-standard base-pairing at the 3rd anti-codon position. Lineage: Bacteria; Bacillati; Bacillota; Clostridia; Eubacteriales; Desulfitobacteriaceae. RNAcentral also lists the same sequence under 2 other names. The record is from RNAcentral.